UACGUAGGGUACGAGCGUUAAUCGGAAUUACUGGGCGUAAAGCGUGCGCAGGCGGUUCGUUGUGUCGGCGGUGAAAGCCCCGGGCUUAACCUGGGAGUGGCCGUUGAAACUGGCGAACUGGAGUGUGGCAGAGGGGGGUGGAAUUCCGCGUGUAGCAGUGAAAUGCGUAGAGAUGCGGAGGAACACCGAUGGCGAAGGCAGCCCCCUGGGCUGACACUGACGCUCAGGCACGAAAGCGUGGGGAGCAAACAGG
RNAcentral lists this ribosomal RNA (253 nucleotides) under uncultured bacterium. RNAcentral's name for it is "partial 16S ribosomal RNA". It matches the Rfam family "Bacterial small subunit ribosomal RNA", at positions 524 to 776 of the family's 1533-position model. The record is from RNAcentral.